This 398-nucleotide ribosomal RNA is filed under the name uncultured bacterium. RNAcentral's name for it is "partial 16S ribosomal RNA". It matches the Rfam family "Bacterial small subunit ribosomal RNA", at positions 360 to 773 of the family's 1533-position model. The record is from RNAcentral.
AAUAUUGCACAAUGGAGGGAACUCUUAUGCAGCAACGCCGCGUGAGUGAAGAAGGUUUUCGGAUCGUAAAACUCUGUCAUUGGGGAAGAAUAAAUGACGGUACCCAAUGAUGAAGCCCCGUCUAACUACGAUCCAGCAGCCGCGGUAAUACGUAGGGGGCGAGCGUUGUCCGGAAUUACUGGGCGUAAAGGGUACGUAGGGGGCUAAUUAAGGCAGGUGUGAAAUACCAGUGCUUAACACUGGAAUUGCAUUUGAAACUGUGGAGCUUGAGUGCAGGAGAGGAAAGUGGAAUUCCUAGUGUAGCGGUGAAAUGCGUAGAGAUUAGGAGGAACACCAGUGGCGAAGGCGACUUUCUGGACUGUAACUGACGCUGAGGUACGAAAGCGUGGGUAGCGAAC